GGGACACUCUGGGUCUCGGAGGAGCGUGAUCCAGGUUGGAACGCAACCCAGACUGUCAACGAAACACGUUCCUGCGAGCUAAAGAAUCCCUUCCGAGCCCUCAUUGCGACCACCAAACCAGCCAAUCCCUCGUGGGUUCCCUCAGCCAACACUUGUGUGUGUGAAAAGAUCAAAUGCCCCCAUUGCAUCCAGAGCACAGACGUCCCUCAAAUCCUAGGCUCUCCAUUCUUCCCCGAGCAUCCUGGAUCCCUGGGCUUGGAGCUGCCUGUGAGGCUUCCAGCCCUCUGCUUGUCACCACUUCCCAGGUGGUUGGUGGCUCUGGGUGAACCCAGUGGAGCGGGCCGUUUGCGAGGAGGGCUGUUUGGACGCAAGCUGGGCGCGGGCAGGCUGGGCCGGGUCGCAGGGCAGGGCGCCCCUCGUCUCCUGCCUCCGCCUCUCGGUUCCGCACUGGUCCGAGUGAAGCCAGGGGGGCGGGGGGGAGCCGCGCUGACGUCACUGCGGGCCGUGCCCGCCCGAGAAGGCGGCGCUGAGCCGCUCAGAGCCGGGAGAAGCGGCGCGCCGCCAGGAACCUCCGCGCCACCGCCGCCGCGCCUGCCUCCAGCAGCUCUCGGCCACGCGACCGUGCGGUCAGCGGCGCUUGGAGGGCGGCCGGAGCUGGGCCUGAGCCUGGAGACUCGCCUGAUCCCGGGCGGCCGAACCACCAUCACCACAACGCCCCACCCCCGCCGUCGCCUUGUGGGGCCCCGGCCCCCUCCCGGGUCCGACGCACUCCAGGGUGGGCCAGGAGAAAAGAGAAAAGACAGCUUGGUGAUGACUAAGAAGCCUUCUCUCCUCAGACAUGGUGGGAUGUACUCUGAUCUAGAGCAGGCAGCUGGCCAGAGACCCACAGGGAGCUCAGUGAUUGGCCUCAGAUGACCUUGGGGACAAAGAUUGUCCUGUGAAGGGAAGUGAUGGCACAGGCUCUGAUCAGCUCUUCUGGGAACAGACAGAGAAGUGAGAAUUCCUGCCAAAGCCACAGGAUGAACACAGAGCCAAGAACCUGAACCAGAAAAAUCCAGCAGGAAAGGAACCUGCACUAGCCGCCAUCCUGAGGCUGCUGUACAGGGAGCAAUCCUACCGCAGGGACUUGGCAGGAGACCAAGGACCUGCCCCCAGGUCCUCCUCGAGGGCCUCUGCCACCGACCUGCUUGUCUAGGAUCUCCUUCCUUUCUGCUUGUGCCACAUCUUUCAGGCCUGUUCUGGGUCUGAUGUGCUAUAGAACACUCUGUUCAGGCGCUUGGGAAACAGAGACUUCAUCACCAGCAUUUCCACCCCCAAAGAACUAGGCAGCACACUGGGAAGUUGCCAAAGGAAGGGACUCCAGCCUCCCAGGAGUUAACAACAUUUCUCCCCAGCUAUCCUCCCCUUGGUGCUCCUCUUCCUCCCUCCUCCUGCUCACAGCAGGCAGGGCCUGGAACCAGGAGCCAUGCUGCUGUGCUGUUGCCAGGGGAGCUGGGAGGCAGAUCGGAGCUAUGCAGGGAAAAGGCUCGGCCUGUCAGAGUGUCUGAGAUGAACCACCGCCAUCCCUGUGCAGCUGGGCUCCAUGUGUCUCAGGGCUCUUGUUCUGUGCCUGAGAACAGUGAAGCCCAGCGAGGUUCAAGGGCACACUCGCUAUUCAUCAGUCGGGGGUUCUUGACGGUCCUGCCUCUCCCAGGGAUGGGUUCCCCCCUUCCUCUUUCUCUCCCUCCUAUGAUACAUUCCUGGGUGCCUGUGGUGAGGACUGCACACCCCCUUCUCCACAGCCCCCCCAAACCCUGAAUCAACUCCUAUUAAGGAGGCCAGGCGGGACAGGGACAAUGGCUUCAAGAAAUCAUUCAGGCGGGACCUCAGUCACAUUCGCAUGCCCGUCACUCCCAGAGCCCCUGUAGAUCCCACUCUGCUGUGAUUCAGGGACCCUUGGGCCCCCAGCUUGCACAUGCCUAGACAGGAGCAGGCCACUAGGUGCUGCCCUACACAACAGGCCAGUGCAGUGUUUGUUCUCAGGGACCCUGGGGUCUCCAUCCCACUGGCUGGAUAGUGUGUGCAGUCAGUUGGAGAGCAGAAACUACAAUAUUUUCUGAAAUGUGGUAAUAUCAAGAUAUAAGAGGCACAUAUACGUGAUGACUAAUUUCACUUCAGAUAUACUGGAAAAGUUUGCUAAGAACAUGGACAAAGACCUGUGGUUGAGUAACGAGUCAUUUCAUUCCAUGGAAUAUUACACACCUGUAAGACUGUGGUAGAUCUACCUCUGCAUGCAGGCUGAUAGGGAAGGUUGUUAAUAUACUUAAGUGAAUAGAAUAAAGUACAAAACAGUCAAGUGUGUUCUUGUUUG
This 2350-nucleotide long non-coding RNA is filed under the name Mus spicilegus (steppe mouse). RNAcentral's name for it is "lncRNA (ENSMSIG00000018218.1)". Lineage: Eukaryota; Metazoa; Chordata; Mammalia; Rodentia; Muridae. The record is from RNAcentral.